RNAcentral lists this unclassified non-coding RNA (222 nucleotides) under uncultured Clavaria. RNAcentral describes it as "sequence contains ITS2". Lineage: Eukaryota; Fungi; Basidiomycota; Agaricomycetes; Agaricales; Clavariaceae. The record is from RNAcentral.
AUAUCUCAACACAGACAGUUUUUACUGGUUGUUGUUUGGAUGUUGAAGGCUUGCUGGCAGUCUGACUGUCAGCUCCUUUUAAAUGUAUUAGCAGAAAGCAUGCAGAACUGGCUUCAGUUUGAUAAAUGACUUUAUCGGUGUUGCUGUCGCCAGGAUAAUGCUAGUUCUUCAGCUUCUAAUGGUCCUUCUGGGACUGUCUCAUCUGAGGCAUACAAACUUGAC